Molecule: ribosomal RNA, 479 nt
Filed under: uncultured bacterium
Lineage: Bacteria
Description: bacterial SSU rRNA
Rfam family: Bacterial small subunit ribosomal RNA
Source: RNAcentral
AAUGAACGUUGGCGGCGUGGAUUAGGCAUGCAAGUCGCGCGAGAACCAGCAAUGGGGACAGCGGCGAAAGGGACAGUAAUGUGUAGAUUAUCUGCCCUCGGGUCCGGGAUAGCUGCGGGAAACUGCAGGUAAUACCGGAUAACAUCUCCGGAUCAAAGGUGUGAUUCCGCCCGAGGAUGAGUCUACAUCCUAUUAGCUAGUUGGUAGGGUAAUGGCCUACCAAGGCUUUGAUGGGUAGCAGGUGUGAGAGCACGACCUGCGUCAUUGGGACUGAGACACUGCCCAGACACCUACGGGUGGCUGCAGUCGAGAAUCUUCGGCAAUGGGCGCAAGCCUGACCGAGCGACGCCGCGUGUGGGAUGAAGGCCUUCGGGUUGUAAACCACUGUCAGAGGGGAUGAAAUGCGGGUGGGUUCUCCCAUUCGUUUGACAUAGCCUCAGAGGAAGGACGGGCUAAGUUCGUGCCAGCAGCCGCCGUAA